This 247-nucleotide ribosomal RNA is filed under the name uncultured bacterium. RNAcentral's name for it is "partial 16S ribosomal RNA". It matches the Rfam family "Bacterial small subunit ribosomal RNA", at positions 1245 to 1500 of the family's 1533-position model. The record is from RNAcentral.
GGGUGCUACCGGGUGACCGGAUGCCGAUCUCGAAAACCUGUCCCAGUUCGGACUGGAGUCUGCAACCCGACUCCACGAAGUUGGAUUCGCUAGUAAUCGCGCAUCAGCCAUGGCGCGGUGAAUACGUUCCCGGGCCUUGUACACACCGCCCGUCAAGCCAUGGGAGCCGGGGGCGCCUGAAGUCCGGGACCGCGAGGACCGGCCUAAGGCGAAACUGGUGACUGGGGCUAAGUCGUAACAAGGUAAC